CCUACGGGAGGCAGCAGUGAGGAAUAUUGGUCAGUGGACGAGAGUCUGAACCAGCCAAGUAGCGUGAAGGAUGACUGCCCUAUGGGUUGUAAACUUCUUUUAUAUGGGAAUAAAAUGUUCCACGUGUGGGAUUUUGUAUGUACCAUAUGAAUAAGGAUCGGCUAACUCCGUGCCAGCAGCCGCGGUAAUACGGAGGAUCCGAGCGUUAUCCGGAUUUAUUGGGUUUAAAGGGAGCGUAGGUGGAUUGGUAAGUCAGUUGUGAAAGUUUGCGGCUCAACCGUAAAAUUGCAGUUGAAACUGGCAGUCUUGAGUGCAGUAGAGGUGGGCGGAAUUCGUGGUGUAGCGGUGAAAUGCUUAGAUAUCACGAAGAACUCCGAUGGCGAAGGCAGUUCACUGGACUGCAACUGACACUGAGGCUCGAAAGUGUGGGUAUCAAACAGGAUUAGAUACCCGUGUAGUC
RNAcentral lists this ribosomal RNA (460 nucleotides) under uncultured bacterium. Its description in RNAcentral is "partial 16S ribosomal RNA". It matches the Rfam family "Bacterial small subunit ribosomal RNA", at positions 338 to 795 of the family's 1533-position model. The record is from RNAcentral.